This 253-nucleotide ribosomal RNA is filed under the name uncultured bacterium. Its description in RNAcentral is "partial 16S ribosomal RNA". It matches the Rfam family "Bacterial small subunit ribosomal RNA", at positions 524 to 776 of the family's 1533-position model. The record is from RNAcentral.
UACGGAGGGUGCGAGCGUUGUCCGGAAUCACUGGGCGUAAAGGGCGUGUAGGCGGUUAGUUAAGUCUGGCGUGAAAGCUCUCGGCUAAACCGGGAGAGGUCGUUGGAUACUGGCUGACUAGAGGACGGUAGAGGCGUGUGGAAUUCCGGGUGUAGUGGUGAAAUGCGUAGAGAUCCGGAGGAACACCAGUGGCGAAGGCGACACGCUGGGCCGUACCUGACGCUAAAGCGCGACAGCAUGGGGAGCAAACGGG